CUCAGGACGAACGCUGGCGGCGUGCCUAAUACAUGCAAGUAGAACGCUGAAGAGAGGAGCUUGCUCUUCUUGGAUGAGUUGCGAACGGGUGAGUAACGCGUAGGUAACCCGCCUGGUAGCGGGGGAUAACUAUUGGAAACGAUAGCUAAUACCGCAUAAUAGCAGUUAUUGCAUGAUAACUGUUUGAAAGGUGCAAAUGCAUCACUACCAGAUGGACCUGCGUUGUAUUAGCUAGUUGGUGGGGUAACGGCUCACCAAGGCGACGAUACAUAGCCGACCUGAGAGGGUGAUCGGCCACACUGGGACUGAGACACGGCCCAGACUCCUACGGGAGGCAGCAGUAGGGAAUCUUCGGCAAUGGACGGAAGUCUGACCGAGCAACGCCGCGUGAGUGAAGAAGGUUUUCGGAUCGUAAAGCUCUGUUGUAAGAGAAGAACGAGUGUGAGAGUGGAAAGUUCACACAGUGACGGUAUCUUACCAGAAAGGGACGGCUAACUACGUGCCAGCAGCCGCGGUAAUACGUAGGUUCCGAGCGUUGUCCGGAUUUAUUGGGCGUAAAGCGAGCGCAGGCGGUUAGAUAAGUCUGAAGUUAAAGGCUGUGGCUUAACCAUAGUACGCUUUGGAAACUGUUUAACUUGAGUGCAAGAGGGGAGAGUGGAAUUCCAUGUGUAGCGGUGAAAUGCGUAGAUAUAUGGAGGAACACCGGUGGCGAAAGCGGCUCUCUGGCUUGUAACUGACGCUGAGGCUCGAAAGCGUGGGGAGCAAACAGGAUUAGAUA
RNAcentral lists this ribosomal RNA (778 nucleotides) under uncultured Streptococcaceae bacterium. RNAcentral describes it as "bacterial SSU rRNA". It matches the Rfam family "Bacterial small subunit ribosomal RNA", at positions 23 to 784 of the family's 1533-position model. Lineage: Bacteria; Bacillati; Bacillota; Bacilli; Lactobacillales; Streptococcaceae. The record is from RNAcentral.